GUGUUUUUAAGCUAAAUUCUGAACCCAAAUUUUGUAUAAACUACAAGUGGCAAACUGUAAUUAUUCAAAGUGAUCAUCGAAAACUUGUUGCCAUUUAAAAUUUUAAAGGCAAAUGUCGAUACAAAGCCUAUUUAAGUGCAAAGUAUCUCUUACUAUUCAAUAAAAACGCUAACAGCUCAGAAAUUAUGACCCACGAUGGAUUCCAAUAUUUCAAAGCACGAGUCUAUUUCCCUUUUAGGCUCCAGGGCAAGAACGAAACCAAUCCUUUUAAAGGCAGUUCUUUUCUAAUCAUUUCUGCAUAUUUUCCGACUGCAAUUCUUCGUUAAUUCAGAGGUGUGUCCCGGUGAAACCUUCGGGGUGUUAAGCAACACAGAUGUAACAGAAACUCUGCGCACGGACAACUUGGCCAGGCGUGCCGCCCGCCUCUCCUUCCUACCCCCGCCCAAUGCCUUCCCCGGGCAGUGACUUCACAUCCUUUGACAUCAGCACGGCUCUGAAAGGGGGAUGGGAGAGCGAGCAGAAAGCAGAAAAACCAGCUUUGAACUAUGCAUGCAAGGCCUCUCUCAAGACUCAAAUUCUACAAAAUUACUUUAACACGCACACAGAGGCGCUAAUAUUUUGGAACGGCCAAGAAAGAUGCACCAAACAAGGCCAGUGAGGGGCACGCCCUGACCAGUGUGAAAUUCUGGAUAUGUGGGUGUGCUCCUUCCGGGCACAGUUGCGGAAGGCGCUGGAAUACACCUGUAGAGAUGACAAGCUUCCUGCUCCAAGUCCAUAUACGAUGAAAAUUAACUGUAGAAGACUCACUGCUAUGAAUUUAAGGCUCCAGAUUCAGUGUGCUCAUCUCCAGACUGCUCCGUGACAGCUAGCCUGUCCCACGACGUGCAGCUGACACGCGAGGUGAGGAGCGUUGCAAACACUCAGGCAGAGGCGGUGGAUGAGUGUGAGGGCGCACGCAGCAGAG
This is a long non-coding RNA of Physeter macrocephalus (sperm whale), 964 nucleotides long. RefSeq lists it as uncharacterized. The transcript has 4 exons. The record is from RefSeq and is a predicted model, not a curated record. Lineage: Eukaryota; Metazoa; Chordata; Mammalia; Artiodactyla; Physeteridae.